GAAAGAAAGAAUUUGAGCCACCGGAUUAUAGUCUGAGUGCUGGUGGAAUUUAUUUUUCAAUCUAUUAAUUUGAAUUUUAUUUUUGUGGUCAAUACUUAAAAAAUAUUUUUCAAUAUGCUAAUAUUGAGAUAAAAUUAUAAUUUUAAAUCUCAUAAACUAAAUUAGAUAAAUAUGAUGAAAUUUAAAAUGUUUAUAUUUAAGUAUGGUUGGAGAAUGGGUAACACAAUAAAUUAUUGGUAGAAUUUGAUUUUUAAUUUUAUAAUUGCCUAAAGAUAAUAGAGAAAAAUAUUCAUAAAAAUUAAUAAAAGAGCUAUUUAAA
RNAcentral lists this unclassified non-coding RNA (319 nucleotides) under Hevea brasiliensis (rubber tree). The record is from RNAcentral. Lineage: Eukaryota; Viridiplantae; Streptophyta; Magnoliopsida; Malpighiales; Euphorbiaceae.